This 460-nucleotide ribosomal RNA is filed under the name uncultured bacterium. RNAcentral's name for it is "partial 16S ribosomal RNA". It matches the Rfam family "Bacterial small subunit ribosomal RNA", at positions 338 to 795 of the family's 1533-position model. The record is from RNAcentral.
CCUACGGGUGGCAGCAGUGAGGAAUAUUGGUCAAUGGACGCAAGCCUGAACCAGCCAUGCCGCGUGCAGGAAGACGGCCCUAUGAGUUGUAAACUGCUUUUGUAAGGGGGUAAAGGGAGAUACGUGUAUCUUUCUGAAUGUAUCGUAUGAAUAAGGAUCGGCUAACUCCGUGCCAGCAGCCGCGGUAAUACGGAGGAUGCGAGCGUUAUCCGGAUUUAUUGGGUUUAAAGGGUGCGUAGACGGUCGGUUAAGUCAGAUGUGAAAGCGCGAGGCUCAACUCUGGAAUUGCAACUGAUACUGGUCGUCUAGAGUGUAGUUGAGGUAGGCGGAAUGCAUGGUGUAGCGGUGAAAUGCUUAGAGAUCAUGAAGAACACCGAUUGCGAAGGCAGCUUACUAAACUACGACUGACGUUGAGGCACGAAAGCGUGGGGAGCAAACAGGAUUAGAUACCCGAGUAGUC